This 494-nucleotide ribosomal RNA is filed under the name uncultured bacterium. Its description in RNAcentral is "bacterial SSU rRNA". It matches the Rfam family "Bacterial small subunit ribosomal RNA", at positions 903 to 1397 of the family's 1533-position model. The record is from RNAcentral.
AAAGGAAUAGACGGGGGCCCGCACAAGCGGAGGAGCAUGUGGCUUAAUUCGAUGCAACGCGAAGAACCUUACCCAGACUUGACAUGUGACUGCACGCCCUGUGAAAGCAGGGUUCCUUCGAGGGUGUCACACAGGUGCUGCAUGGCUGUCGUCAGUUCGUGCCGUGAGGUGUUUGGUUAAGUCCACCAACGAACGCAACCCCUGCGUCCAUUUGCCAACAGGUAAUGCUGGGAACUAUGGACGGACUGCCCCUUCAAACGGGAGGAAGGUGGGGAUGACGUCAAGUCAGUAUGGCCCUUACGUCUGGGGCUGCACACGUGCUACAAUGGUCGGUACAGCAGGAAGCAAGACCGCAAGGUGGAGCAAAACCCUAAAGCCGGCCUCAGUUCGGAUUGGAGUCUGCAAUUCGACUCCAUGAAGUUGGAUUCGCUAGUAACGGCGCAUCAGCAUUUGGUGCCGUGAAUACGUUCCCGGGCCUUGUACACACCGCCCGU